Molecule: ribosomal RNA, 350 nt
Filed under: uncultured bacterium
Lineage: Bacteria
Description: bacterial SSU rRNA
Rfam family: Bacterial small subunit ribosomal RNA
Source: RNAcentral
GGGCCCGCACAAGCGGUGGAGCAUGUGGUUUAAUUCGAUGCAACGCGAAGAACCUUACCAGGGUUUGACAUCCUGCGAAUCUCUUGGAAACGAGAGAGUGCCUUCGGGAGCGCAGUGACAGGUGGUGCAUGGCUGUCGUCAGCUCGUGUCGUGAGAUGUUGGGUUAAGUCCCGCAACGAGCGCAACCCACGUCUUUAGUUGCCAGCAUUUAGUUGGGCACUCUAAAAAGACUGCCGGUUAUAAACCGGAGGAAGGUGGGGAUGACGUCAAGUCAGCAUGCCCCUUACACCCUGGCUACACACGUGCUACAUUGGGCGAGACAAUGAGAUGCAAAUCUGUGAAGACUAGCU